RNAcentral lists this ribosomal RNA (252 nucleotides) under uncultured bacterium. Its description in RNAcentral is "partial 16S ribosomal RNA". It matches the Rfam family "Bacterial small subunit ribosomal RNA", at positions 524 to 776 of the family's 1533-position model. The record is from RNAcentral.
UACGUAGGGGGCUAGCGUUAUCCGGAAUUACUGGGCGUAAAGGGUGCGUAGGUGGUUUCUUAAGUCAGAGGUGAAAGGCUACGGCUCAACCGUAGUAAGCCUUUGAAACUGGGAAACUUGAGUGCAGGAGAGGAGAGUGGAAUUCCUAGUGUAGCGGUGAAAUGCGUAGAUAUUAGGAGGAACACCAGUUGCGAAGGCGGCUCUCUGGACUGUAACUGACACUGAGGCACGAAGGCGUGGGGAGCAAACAGG